This 73-nucleotide transfer RNA is filed under the name Paramuricea clavata. It matches the Rfam family "tRNA". From Rfam's summary of the family: Transfer RNA (tRNA) molecules are approximately 80 nucleotides in length. Their secondary structure includes four short double-helical elements and three loops (D, anti-codon, and T loops). The record is from Rfam by way of RNAcentral. Lineage: Eukaryota; Metazoa; Cnidaria; Anthozoa; Malacalcyonacea; Plexauridae.
GGCCUGUUAGCUCACUCGGCAGAGCGUGGUGCUAAUAACGCUAAGGUCGUGAGUUCGAUCCUCACACAGGCCA